CUGGACAAACGCUGGAUAUAGUAAUAUAUUUAGAGGAAAGUCCACACUCGCACUAUCUGUGAUGAUAGUAGUGUUUGUGCUUAAGGAAAAAAUAACUUAAGGCAGGAAACUGACGGCAUCUGUUUAAUCUAAAGAUUAUUCCAUGAUUAAAUAGAUAUAAAGUGCCACAGAGACGAGGCUAUUUAGAAAUAAAUAGAUUGAAACGAGGUAAACCCCACAAGCGAGAAACCCAAAUUAUGGUAGGGGAACUAUCUUUGGAGAAUUAGAAUCUAAAAGAUGGAUGAGGAAACUCAUAGAUAAAUGUUUGUCACCAAUUACGGUACAAAAUGUGGCUUAUAA
RNAcentral lists this RNase P RNA (339 nucleotides) under pig gut metagenome. RNAcentral's name for it is "Bacterial RNase P class B". It matches the Rfam family "Bacterial RNase P class B". From Rfam's summary of the family: Ribonuclease P (RNase P) is a ubiquitous endoribonuclease, found in archaea, bacteria and eukarya as well as chloroplasts and mitochondria. The record is from RNAcentral.